AUCCAGUUGAUGAGUCCGAAAUAGGAUGAUGUGGCGCGCGUCCUGGAU
Schistosoma rodhaini is the source of this 48-nucleotide non-coding RNA. NCBI's taxonomy places the organism in Eukaryota, Metazoa, Platyhelminthes, Trematoda, Strigeidida, Schistosomatidae. The record is from Rfam.